CCCUACGGGGCGCAGCAGGCGCGAAAACUUCACACUGUGCGAAAGCACGAUGAGGGAAUCCCAAGUGCUUGCUCGUAAGAGUAAGCUGUUUUUAUGUUUAAAACGCAUAGAGAGUAAGGGCUGGGUAAGACGGGUGCCAGCCGCCGCGGUAAUACCUGCAGCUCAAGUGGUGACCGCUAUUAUUGGGCCUAAAACGUUCGUAGCCGGCUUAAUAAAUGCCUGGGUAAAUCGUGUAGCUCAACUAUACGAAUUCCGGGUAGACUGUUAAGCUUGAGACCGGGAGAAGCUAGAGGUACUCCUGGGGUAGAGGUGAAAUUCUGUAAUCCUAGGGGGACCACCAGUGGCGAAGGCGUCUAGCUAGAACGGGUCUGACGGUGAGGGACGAAGCCCUGGGGCGCAAACCGGAUUAGAUACCCGGGUAGUCCAGGGUGUAAACGCUGCUUGCUUGAUGUUAGUUGGGCUCCGAGCCCAAUUAGUGUCGGAGAGAAGUUGUUAAGCAAGCUGCCUGGGAAGUACGGCCGCAAGACUGAAACUUAAAGGAAUUGGCGGGGGAGCAC
RNAcentral lists this ribosomal RNA (557 nucleotides) under uncultured archaeon. Its description in RNAcentral is "bacterial SSU rRNA". It matches the Rfam family "Archaeal small subunit ribosomal RNA", at positions 321 to 879 of the family's 1478-position model. The record is from RNAcentral.